RNAcentral lists this ribosomal RNA (256 nucleotides) under uncultured bacterium. Its description in RNAcentral is "partial 16S ribosomal RNA". It matches the Rfam family "Bacterial small subunit ribosomal RNA", at positions 524 to 778 of the family's 1533-position model. The record is from RNAcentral.
CACGUAGGGGGCGAGCGUUGUCCGGAUUUAUUGGGCGUAAAGAGCUCGUAGGCGGCUCAGUAAGUCGGGUGUGAAAACUCCAGGCUCAACCUGGAGACGCCACCUGAUACUGCUGUGGCUAGAGUCCGGUAGGGGAGCAUGGAAUUCCUGGUGUAGCGGUGAAAUGCGUAGAUAUCUGGAGGAACACCGGUGGCGAAGGCGGCAUCCUGGACCGGUAUUGACGCUGAGGCGCGAAAGCCAGGGGAGCAAAGCGGGG